UUAAAUUCCCCCUCCGUAA
RNAcentral lists this ribosomal RNA (19 nucleotides) under Diaporthe sp. CZ-2018. RNAcentral describes it as "partial 18S ribosomal RNA". Lineage: Eukaryota; Fungi; Ascomycota; Sordariomycetes; Diaporthales; Diaporthaceae. The record is from RNAcentral.